Molecule: ribosomal RNA, 503 nt
Filed under: uncultured bacterium
Lineage: Bacteria
Description: partial 16S ribosomal RNA
Rfam family: Bacterial small subunit ribosomal RNA
Source: RNAcentral
AUUGAACGCUGGCGGCAGGCUUAACACAUGCAAGUCGAGCGGAGUGAUGGUGCUUGCACUAUCACUUAGCGGCGGACGGGUGAGUAAUGCUUAGGAAUCUGCCUAUUAGUGGGGGACAACAUCUCGAAAGGGAUGCUAAUACCGCAUACGUCCUACGGGAGAAAGCAGGGGAUCACUUGUGACCUUGCGCUAAUAGAUGAGCCUAAGUCGGAUUAGGUAGUUGGUGGGGUAAAGGCCUACCAAGGCGACGAUCUGUAGCGGGUCUGAGAGGAUGAUCCGCCACACUGGGACAGAGACAGCGGCCAGACUCCUACGGGAAGCAGCAGUGGGGAAUAUUGGACAAUGGGGGGAACCCUGAUCCAGCCAUGCGGCGUGUGUGAAGAAGGCCUUAUGGUUGUAAAGCACUUUAAGCGAGGAGGAGGCUCUUUUGGUUAAUACCCAAGAUGAGUGGACGUUACUCGCAGAAUAAGCACCGGCUAACUCUGUGCCAGCAGCCGCCGUAA